GAUGAAGAACGUAGCGAAAUGCGAUAAGUAAUGUGAAUUGCAGAAUUCAGUGAAUCAUCGAAUCUUUGAACGCACCUUGCGCUCCUUGGUAUUCCAAAGAGCAUGCCUGUUUGAGUAUCAUUAAAUUAUCAACUGUACCAAUUUGGUUGCAGAUUGGAUGUGGGAGAUUUUGCAGGCUUUUGAUUUCUCUUUGAGAAAACGGUCAGCUCUCCUGAAAUAUAUUAGCAGUGCCUUUGUUGGUUCAUUAGGUGUGAUAAUUUAUCUACAUCUUCACAUGGUACCUACAUUUGUGUAAAGGUCAUAUUGCUUCAAAUUGUCUUUGGACAUAAAAAAAAAAAAACAUAUAAUUGUAUGGAAAACUUGAUCUCAAAUCAGGCAGGACUACCCGCUGAACUUAAGCAUAUCAAUAAGCGGAGGA
Molecule: unclassified non-coding RNA, 418 nt
Filed under: soil metagenome
Description: partial contains 5.8S ribosomal RNA, internal transcribed spacer 2, and large subunit ribosomal RNA
Rfam family: 5.8S ribosomal RNA (bases 1-120)
Source: RNAcentral